GUGGGUUGCACCAGAAGCCGGUAGCCUAACCUUCGGGAGGGCGCCGACCACGGUGUGAUUCAUGACUGGGGUGAAGUCGUAACAAGGUAGCCGUAGGUGAACCUGCAGAAGGAUCA
Molecule: ribosomal RNA, 116 nt
Filed under: uncultured eukaryote
Lineage: Eukaryota
Description: partial small subunit ribosomal RNA
Rfam family: Bacterial small subunit ribosomal RNA
Source: RNAcentral